Long non-coding RNA from Coccinella septempunctata (seven-spotted ladybird), 1074 nucleotides. RefSeq lists it as uncharacterized. Lineage: Eukaryota; Metazoa; Arthropoda; Insecta; Coleoptera; Coccinellidae. The record is from RefSeq and is a predicted model, not a curated record. The transcript has 3 exons.
CCCUGAAUAUUUUCAGUAAAAAUCGUGAUUUUCAGCGUUGAAAUUGAAAAAAAUAAAUUUAUAUUAGGAAUGUUGAGGUCACUAUUCAGCUAAAAAUAAAUUAGAAUUUUAAAAUUUCCAUAAUUUUUCAAUUCCUAUAACGUGUUUUCCUGUCAUUCGACUAAAAAGAGUUGUUACUCUUUGUCCUUAAGCAAGUUUCAUUUUACUGUUGACGGACCGUGAAAAAAUUGAUGCAAAUUUUUAAGGUUUAAUUAUUAUUCAAAUUGAAGGAUAUAUUUAAUAUAUUUACUACAUUUCUCUCCGUACGAUAGUACUUCGAAGCUCACAUCACAGUUGAAUUUUUUCCCAUAAUCGGAAAGUUAGGCACAUAUUAAUUCAUCAUAUCAAGAAAUGUAUGAAAUUCAUAAAUGUCAAAUAUCAUCUAUCGGAAAGUCUCAUUUUAAAUAAAAAAAGCUACUUCAGGGGUAAGCUUCUAAGCAAUUGGUUCAGAAGAGUUUCUAUUUGAAGUAUAUGAUCCAUUUGUCAAGUUUACAUAAUGGAUUUCAGAUUAAAUUACAUGCAAACUCACAGAAUGGGAAACAUACUUAAUCUUGGUGUAUGAACAUUUCUAGAUAACAAACGGUUCUUGGGGGCACAUAUAAAUUUAUCAGAUCAAGAAAUGUAUAAUAUCAUCUCUCGGACAGUGUUAUUUGGUAAAAAAAAUGUUCUUCAGAGUAAGUUUCUUAAGCAGUUCGUUCAGGAGAGUUUCUAUGUGAAGCAAAUGAUCUAUUUCGAUUCUUUUCAACUGAACACAACAGAUUUCUGACAACUUUCAAGCAAUUGGGUAGUGUACGGAGAUGAUUUUCUUAGGCUAGAUCUAUGGAAAAAUAUGUUUUGAGAUAAGUUAUUCAGUUGGAAUGAUAUAAUGAUUAUUGAAACACAAUCUAUGAGUGAGUUUUUGCGUUAAAAUUCUAUAUUUAUAGACAUUUGUCAGGUUCUCCCAUUUGGGGUAAGAUUUUUGCUAUUAUCGUAGAGAGAGGGACCCUGUAGGUUUUUGUUCAAAAUAAACAGAAUUAAACGUUAUAAUGCUUGAAA